This is a small nucleolar RNA of Callithrix jacchus (white-tufted-ear marmoset), 102 nucleotides long. The record is from Ensembl. Lineage: Eukaryota; Metazoa; Chordata; Mammalia; Primates; Cebidae.
AUCCUUUUGUAGUUCACGAGUGUGAAUAUUGGGUGUUCACACACGUGUGAGACGUGCCACCAUUGAACCUUGUCACGAUGUCAGCACAUUACCUAUCUGACA